Molecule: ribosomal RNA, 254 nt
Filed under: uncultured bacterium
Lineage: Bacteria
Description: partial 16S ribosomal RNA
Rfam family: Bacterial small subunit ribosomal RNA
Source: RNAcentral
UACGGAGGGUGCAAGCGUUAUCCGGAUUCACUGGGUUUAAAGGGUGCGUAGGUGGGCAAGUAAGUCAGUGGUGAAAUCUCCGGGCUUAACCCGGAAACUGCCAUUGAUACUAUUUGUCUUGAAUACUGUGGAGGUCAGCGGAAUAUGUCAUGUAGCGGUGAAAUGCUUAGAUAUGACAUAGAACACCAAUUGCGAAGGCAGCUGGCUACACAAAUAUUGACACUGAGGCACGAAAGCGUGGGGAGUCAAACAGG